CUACGGGUCGCAGCAGUGGGGAAUAUUGGACAAUGGGGGAAACCCUGAUCCAGCAAUGCCGCGUGUGUGAAGAAGGCCUGCGGGUUAUAAAGCACUUUCGGUUGGGAGGACUGCUUCUAGCACUAAUAUUGUUGGAAGUUGACGUUACCUUCAGAAGAAGCACCGGCUAACUCCGUGCCAGCAGCCGCGGUAAUACGGAGGGGUGCAAGCGUUAAUCGGAAUUACUGGGCGUAAAGCGCGCGUAGGCGGCUAGAUCAGUCGGGUGUGAAAGCCCCGGGCUUAACCUGGGAACUGCAUCCGAUACUGUCUAGCUUGAGUACAGGAGAGGAGAGUGGAAUUCCACAUGUAGCGGUGAAAUGCGUAGAUAUGUGGAGGAACACCAAUGGCGAAGGCAGCUCUCUGGCCUGAUACUGACGCUGAGGUGCGAAAGCGUGGGGAGCAAACAGGAUUAGAUACCCCCGUAGUC
Molecule: ribosomal RNA, 466 nt
Filed under: uncultured bacterium
Lineage: Bacteria
Description: partial 16S ribosomal RNA
Rfam family: Bacterial small subunit ribosomal RNA
Source: RNAcentral